ACCGGCGGCCCGAGUGGUGAUUCGUGAUUAUUGGGUCUAAAGGGUCCGUAGCCGGUUUGGUCAGUCCUCCGGGAAAUCUGACAGUUCAACUGUUAGGCUUUCGGGGGAUACUGCCAGACUUGGAACCGGGAGAGGUAAGAGGUACUACAGGGGUAGGAGUGAAAUCUUGUAAUCCCUGUGGGACCACCUGUGGCGAAGGCGUCUUACCAGAACGGGAUCGACGGUGAGGGACGAAAGCUGGGGGCAC
Molecule: ribosomal RNA, 247 nt
Filed under: uncultured bacterium
Lineage: Bacteria
Description: partial 16S ribosomal RNA
Rfam family: Archaeal small subunit ribosomal RNA
Source: RNAcentral